CCCAGGUCAGGCGGGGCUACCCGCUGAGUUUAAGCAUAUCAAUAAGCGGAGGAAAAGA
This 58-nucleotide ribosomal RNA is filed under the name Ditassa obcordata. RNAcentral describes it as "partial 26S ribosomal RNA". The record is from RNAcentral. Lineage: Eukaryota; Viridiplantae; Streptophyta; Magnoliopsida; Gentianales; Apocynaceae.